CUAAGGAUGGUUCUUCAGCGAGCUCACGCUCACUAUCGAACCGUUUUAGAAACAUUCAGGGGCCAACAGUUUCAGGAUUGUUGAGCUCCAUUGGCGGGAUUUCGCCGUCUACGUUUCUCUUUCUUCGCGGACGAACACGCGCCAGGGGCUGAGCGCUUGAGCGAUGCGUCGGCGAGAGCCGAUCGCGCGCCAGUGUGCCUCUCGUGUUAGGGGCUUGUAGCUCAGUUGGUUAGAGCGCGCGCUUGAUAAGCGUGAGGUCGGAAGUUCAAGUCUUCCCAGGCCCACCAGCCUUCGCGCUUCGCUGCUUCGGCUAGGCAGGCCCUUCGAAACGAAGGCUGCUGCGCCGUAGCCUUGGCGAAGGCGAGCGGCAUCAACAAUGCGCUUCGUCUUCUGGUACGGGGCCAUAGCUCAGCUGGGAGAGCGCGUGCUUUGCAAGCAUGAGGUCGUCGGUUCGAUCCCGUCUGGCUCCACCAGAUGGAAUCGAAGAUCGAGCAUGCCUCGACCAAAUCGUCCGCGAAACAUCACUUCGCAUGCGUGAGCCUGGAUAGGCUGCGACAUGCGUGUUUUCUGACAUCGUAAAGAGGAGAUCGAUCCGAGUUGGAUCGUGCAGCAAGUGCUGCGCGAGCCUUCAUUAUCUCCGGAUCAUUUCGGCGCUCGCUUUCAGCCGUGAGGUUGAAUGCGGGUUGUAAAUGAUCCUUUCAGCGAAGCUUGACCGCCUCGCUGUCGGAACGAUCUUACGAAGCAAGCUGGUCUUUCUAGUCAAUGUCCGGCUGCGACAAUCGCAUUCAUCGAGGAUGCGUGCCUUUAAUGGCAGUUGCGCAGACAACAUUCUGCCGAGUGUGUGGACAUUGAUAAUGAGAGC
RNAcentral lists this transfer RNA (862 nucleotides) under Bradyrhizobium sp. RNAcentral's name for it is "16S-23S ribosomal RNA intergenic spacer". The stretch from base 211 to 284 matches the Rfam family "tRNA". Lineage: Bacteria; Pseudomonadati; Pseudomonadota; Alphaproteobacteria; Hyphomicrobiales; Nitrobacteraceae. The record is from RNAcentral.